RNAcentral lists this long non-coding RNA (346 nucleotides) under Meleagris gallopavo (turkey). RNAcentral describes it as "lncRNA (ENSMGAG00000021501.1)". The record is from RNAcentral. Lineage: Eukaryota; Metazoa; Chordata; Aves; Galliformes; Phasianidae.
CUUCACCCCUGCCAGCGACGCGUGGGCUUUUGGGGUGACGCUGUGGGAGGUGCUGACCCGGUGCAGGGAGCAGCCCUACGGGGCGCUGAGCGAUGAGCAGGUGAUCGCCAACGCGGGCCGCCACUGCCGAGGCCAUGGGGAGGUGAGAACUGGGACAAACUGGGCUCAACUGGGAGGGGUUGGGGUCGUACUGGGAGCACUGGGGCCGUAUUGGGGCCGUACUGGGAGCAUUGGGGCCGUACUGGGAGCACUGGGGCCGUAUUAGGGUCAUAGUGGGAGCAAUGGGCCCAUACUGGGAGCACUGGGGCAAUAUUGGGGCUGUACUAGGGUCAUACUGGGAGCACUG